RNAcentral lists this ribosomal RNA (213 nucleotides) under uncultured bacterium. RNAcentral describes it as "partial 16S ribosomal RNA". It matches the Rfam family "Bacterial small subunit ribosomal RNA", at positions 1280 to 1500 of the family's 1533-position model. The record is from RNAcentral.
AGCCUGUCCCAGUUCGGACUGGAGUCUGCAACCCGACUCCNCGAUGUUGGAUUCGCUAGUAAUCGCGCAUCAGCCAUGGCGCGGUGAAUACGUUCCCGGGCCUUGUACACACCGCCCGUCAAGCCAUGGGAGCCGGGGGCGCCUGAAGUCCGGGACCGCGAGGACCGGCCUAGGGCGAAACUGGUAACUGGGGCUAAGUCGUAACAAGGUAUC